AGUGAACGCUGGCGGUAGGCCUAACACAUGCAAGUCGAACGGCAGCACAGUAAGUGCUUGCUCUUACGGGUGGCGGGUGGCGGACGGGUGAGGUAUACAUCGGAAUCUACUUUUUGGUGGAGGCUAACGUAGGGAAACUUACGCUAAUACCGCAUACGACCUACGGGUUAAAGCAGGGGAUCUUUGGACUUUGCGGGGGGGGAUGGGCUGGUGGCGGGUUAGCUGGUUGGGGGGGUAAAGAGCCAGCAAGGCGGCGAUGGGUUGGCGGGAUGAGAGGAUGGACAGCCACAUUGGGACUGAGACACGGCCCAGACUCCGACGGGAGGCAGCAGUGGGGAAUAUUGCACAAUGGGCGGAAGCCUGAUGCAGCGACGCCGCGUGGGGGAUGACGGCCUUCGGGUUGUAAACUCCUUGCACCAUCGACGAAGGUUUUCUGACGGUAGAUGGAGAAGAAGCACCGGCUAACUACGUG
This 472-nucleotide ribosomal RNA is filed under the name uncultured bacterium. RNAcentral describes it as "partial 16S ribosomal RNA". It matches the Rfam family "Bacterial small subunit ribosomal RNA", at positions 30 to 507 of the family's 1533-position model. The record is from RNAcentral.